Molecule: transfer RNA, 71 nt
Filed under: Agrilus planipennis (emerald ash borer)
Lineage: Eukaryota; Metazoa; Arthropoda; Insecta; Coleoptera; Buprestidae
Rfam family: tRNA
About the family: Transfer RNA (tRNA) molecules are approximately 80 nucleotides in length. Their secondary structure includes four short double-helical elements and three loops (D, anti-codon, and T loops).
Source: Rfam by way of RNAcentral
CUCCUCGUGGCUUAGUGGUAAAAUAUUGGUGCGUAAAACCAGGGACCCGGGUUAGAUUCCCGGCGAGGGGU